GUUAGGCAGGUCAUGUUACACAUCAGAAGCUUAUCUCCCCCCUCCUCCUAGUCUUAUGGUAUUAUGUGACAUUUAGAAUCAAUGAAAAUUGUUGCUCUGCACGAUUAUUUUUUUAAGAGGAGCAAAAGUAAAGGAAGCAAGAAUAUAUGUAUCAGGUGAAAUUACCUAGAUGAUGGGAGAUGAGAGGGAAAUAGAGAGAUUUGACCUUGUUCUGCACUUAGAGGUCACAUUAGUAAUGACAGACCAUUAUAUCAGAUCUGAGUCUCUUUUGCUGUAGAGCUGAUUGUGUGCGUGUGUCGUAGGCCAACAAGCUGCAAAGAAAGGAGAAAUUCUGUGAGCAAACAACACAGUGAUGAAUUCGAGCUGUUCCUACCAGGCACAACAAUACUGUUUUCCAAAGAGCAAGAUACAAAGAUUUUCCUUUUCAAAGGAGUUGAACAAGGCAGCGUGAGAAAACAACAAUGUGAGGCGUUUCAGAUUGCCUAAUUAGAAAUCUGAAGGUUACGAGGAAUGUUGGGGAGGCAUGCUGCACAGAUGAAGAACCUUUGCUUCUCUUUGUUCAUUUUCACAGGCAGAAAUGGAAGACACUGAAUGUUUCCAAGAUGCUUUCAUUUCUGCUUGUUCACCUAAGCAAUCAAGUGCUGCAAAUUUCACAAUAUUGAGGAAAUUUAGAGAGUUGUGGAAUGAAUUUUGGCUAACAUGUUAUCUCUCCUAAACCAUUCAAACACAUUCAUACAGUGGAGGCUGAUGUAUUAGGGCAAAUGAGGCUGCCACCAGCUCUCACUUACCUGCCUCCUUAACUGCAACCAGUCCAGAGGGUGGCACUGCUUUUCAGCUUCCUUCUUCUGAGUCUUGCCAGCCUGUGCUCAGGUUGGGUAAUUGUGUAAAUAUAACCAUAUAUGCUGAAGACACCACAGUCUCUAUUGCCCUUCAUUCCCAGGAAACUGGACGCCAAAUAAGCGUGGGCACCCCGAGAGUUUCUCUCUACUCAGAGAUUGGGCUGGUAUGUAACAAUAUGGUUAUUGUUUAUUUUAUGGUAGAGAUUCCUGCAUUGCAGGGAGUGGACUAGAUAAUGCCCAGAGGCCCAUUGCUAUAAUUCUAUGAUUCUAAGAACACGGAGUGGGGUGUAUCUGGUGUUAGGAGAGGGGUAGUUAUGAGUUACUGGCCUCUGCUGCCCCAGCAGGUGCUAUGCUUCUCCAGCCUUGGAGGUGCACUUCAUUAUUUCUUGACACAGACAGAUGCCAACACGAACAUGGAGACAAUGGGAAGAAAGGCUUCCACAGCACCAUGGAUAGCUCUGUGUUAAGGAUUCAUAUUGGAGGCUUCCUAGGUAAAAGGUAAAGGGACCCCUGACCGUUAGGUCCAGUCGCGGAUGACUCUGGGGUUGCGGCGCUCAUCUCGCCGGCGGAGGGAGCCGGCGUACAGCUUCCAGGUCAUGUGGCCAGCAUGACUAAGCCACUUCUGGCGAACCAGAGCAGUGCAUGGAAAAAGCCGUCUACCUUCCUGCCAGAGUGGUACCUAUUUAUCUACUUGCACUUUGAACGUGCUUUGAACUCUUAGGUUGGCAGGAGCAGGGACCGAGCAAUGGGAGCUCAACCCAUCACAGGGGUUCGAACUGCUGACCUUCUGAUUGGCAAGCCCUAGGCUCUGUGGUUUAGACCACAGCAUCACCCGCAUCCCAGAGGCUUCCUAGAGCAGAGCUCAAAUGUUGUUUCAGCAGCAGUCAUUCUCAGACUGAAUCUUAAAUAGGAAUAGCAGCCCUGAAGCUUUCUAAUGCAGAAAAACUGGAAAUAUCAAUCUAAAACAAGCAAUUGUAUGAAUUUUGUUACUUUUUAUUAGGUGUUAUUUUUGUGGUUGUGUUUUUCGUUGUUGUGUUUUCAAAUGUAACCUGUCCUUGGCCUUAAGGUGAAGUGCGGGUAAUAAAUAAUAAUAAUGGUUAUUAACAUUAUUAAUUAAAAUGUAUUAGGGCUAUUAUUAAUAAUAUUAGCCAAAGUGAUUACAAAUUAUUAAUGGCCAGUUGCGGGUUAGUCAUUGGCUAAUUGAUGGAUUAAGCCUCCCCAUGCCAGGAUUUUGUUUCAUUGCUAAUUGUGCUGACUUAUUAUUUAAAAAGUGUUAUUCUUGCAGAUAAUUUAUGAACUACCUGCCAAACCACUGUCUCAAGGCAUUUUAUGCAUAUAAUAAAUAAAAAAACAAUUCAAAGCAAAAACUGCAUUUAAAACAAGACUGGAUGGUUAUUAAAUAACUAUGGUGUGGUGUGUUAUGGAGAGGUAAGAGAGGGAAAACAUCAUCACCACCACCAUAGUAAAGGUAACGGGACCCCUGACCAUUUGGUCCAGUUGUGACCGACUCUGGGGUUGCGGCGCUCAUCUCGCUUUAUUGGCCGAGGGAGCCAGCGUACAGCUUCCGGGUCAUGUGGCCAGCAUGACUAAGCCGCUUCUGGCGAAUCAGAGCAGCACAAGGAAAUGCCGUUUACCUUCCCGCCAGAGCGGUACCUAUUUAUCUACUUGCACUUUGACACGCUUUUGAACUGCUAGGUUGGCAGGAGCAGGGACUGAGCAACGGGAGCUCACCCCGUUGCAGGGAUUCAAACCGCCGACCUUCUGAUCGGCAAGUCCUAGGCUCUGCAGUUUAACCCACAGUGCCACCUGCAUCCCCCGACCAUCACCAUAGAACCCCACUAUUCCCCAAUUCUGGUUUACUGCUGACAAUACUAGCGAGUAUAUUACUUAUUAUUAAUUGCUCAUGAUAAUGAUGAUGAGGUCAUGUGUUAUGAGAAGGUGAGAGGUAUAAUUAGAAUCCUGAUAGCCUGCGUUGUACCCAUUGCUACUUAUGCUUAGAGUAAACCCAUUAGAAGUGAGGUGGGCUAUUGGGUUGUUUUUAUUAUAUUAUGUAUUUUGCAUUCUCAUUUUGCAUUUUUCUGUUAUUAACCACCCUGGGUUCUUCAGAUGUGGCACAGUAUACAAAUGUAAUAAAUAAAACAGAUAAAAUAAAAUCUCAGUAGCCAGCUUCAGUGAAAUGAACCUCUCCAUUUAAAGGGGCCCAGUCUGCUGCAGAAGUUGUUGAUGCCAGUGGAGCAGGGACACUUUGGUUCCAGCAGGGCUUCUGAGUUGGUUUCUUCAGAGUAAGAGGUGGGUAAUGCAAUGUCCUUUGGGCUUUUGAGGUACUUUCACAACCAGUUCCUCUUGUACAAGUGCUUCUGGUUUAUCUGGUACAUCUGGAGUUGGUUGUGGAGGCGAUUCCAUCUCUCUCUCUGAAUCUGCAGCUGCAUCCUCUGAAGAAGAGGUUGUACAGUAUUCUUCAACUCCAAGCCUUGUCACAUAUUCUGUUCACAAACGUUUCCAUAACAUUGCCUGCUAUGCACUGUUGUUACCUCCUCUGCCCAUUCUUUUGUAUCAUCUCAUCCAUUCUUGAUUCCUUCAGUUAUUCCUCAGAGGCCUUGUUUCCCAUCCAUUUGUCUUCCUUUAAGAACUCUUGGUUCUCAACCACAAUGCUCUCUUCAAUCUAUCUUCUUCUCAGUGUAAAUACCUGGGGAGCAAAACUUGAAAACAACUUUCCUGCUGUGAAUUGACAUUGAGUUAUAUGGUGUGGAUGGUGGUUAUAUCAGGGAACACAAGAAGCAGUUCUGUGAACAGGGCCCAAGCUCAUUGCUUUUCAAUGAAAACUUUCUGACCCCUAUAUUCUGCUGUCCACAGUGGUGUACUUCAGAAUCCUUUGACCAAUGUAUAAAUGAAUGAUUUAGCUACUGUUGACAUAGCAGUCAUGGCAGUCUGUGUUUUCUGAGUACAUUAAGAAUGAUUAUGUCAUUGAAUUGAUUAAUCACAAUUUAACUUAGUUUUGCAGUAAUUCAAGUUCUGGUUGAUUUUCCCCAGUUUGACACCUGCUGGUCUGGGAGCCUGAAUUUCCACCUCAUGCUUAUGUGUAGGAGUAGGAUAUUAUAUUUUUGAAAGGCAGGGAGAGAUGGAAGGAGAAGUCCAUUUUAAAUAUACACGGAAUUUGACAAUUUUGACCCAAUCAAGAUUUGCCUGCCAUGGUCUGCCUGUUGCAUCAGGUGAGUGCUUAUGUCUGAAUUGCUCAUGCACUGUCAAUUAAAAACCAGAAACAACCUCCUGACUAAUUACAGGCAAAAGUAUAUGUAAAAAAAAAUACUUAUAAGCACUAUUUUCUGUAUCCGUUUAUGUGCCGUUUAUGUUAGGAAACAUGAGGUGCAUAUGCCUUUAAGUAAGUUAUUAUGUGUAUAAUAAUGCAGAUAAUACGUAAGAAUUGUUCAUAUUUUUAGGAAUGAGGAACUGGUCCUCAUUUUUCAUUGAGAUGGGAAUCUAUGUAGUUCAACUCAACUUUAAGAGUUUUUAGAAAAUCCCAUCACUAAAAGCAGAGAUGGAGAAUUUGUGGCCUUCUGUAUCUUGUUGGAGGCCGUCAGCCUCAGCAGGGAUUACGGGAGAUGGUACGAAACAUCCGAAGGGCCACAGGUUUCACAUCCUUGGUGAAAAAGGAGGAGGGAGUCUUAAGAAGAUCUUUUUAAAGAUGUGUUGAAAUUUUCCUGUUUAUGUUUUGAAUUAAUUUAAACAGGUCUUUGCUAUGUCAACAUGAGAAUGCUUGUGGGAUGCUCUCCCCAGGGAGGAUCGCCUGGUGCCUUUGUGACACUGGGCAAAAACAUUCUUCUCCUCCCUGGCCUUUGGCUAAUUAAACCAUCUAUGGCCUUUUAAACUGGUGUGUGUGUGUGUGUUGUUUUGGUUUGCUAUUAUUUUAUGUAUUGUUGUGUUUUUAUAUUGUGAACCACCCUCUGAUCCUUGGAUGAAGUGCAGUAUUGAAUUUUAAAAACAAACAAACAAACAAACAAACAAACAAACAAACAAUUUAUAACCCACCCUUCAUUUGUGUAGUUACCAGGGUAAAGGUAAAGGGACCCUUGACCAUUCGGUCCAGUUGUGGAUGACUCUGGGGUUGUGGCGCUCAUCUCGCUUUACUGGACGAGGGAGCCGGUGUACAGCUUCCGGGUCAUGUGGCCAGCACGACUAAGCCGCUUCUGGAGAAACCAGAGCAGCACACAGAAGCGCCGUUUACCUUCCCGCCGGAGCGGUACCUAUUUAUCUACUUGCAGUAGACGUGCUUUCAAACUGCUAGGUUGGCAGGAGCAGGGACCGAGCAACGGGAGCUCACCCCAUCGCAGGGAUUCGAACCGCUGACCUCAUGAUCAGCAAGUCCUAGGCUCUGUGGUUUAGGCCACAGCGCCACCCGCGUCCACCAGGGUAAGGUACAACACAUUAAAUGAACAAAUGUAAAAUAGCCAACCAUAGAACAGAAUUCAUAAAAAAAAAAGAUAGGUAGGCAGCUAAAGUUGGAAAUACUUAGACUUAAUCACUGAAGAAUUAGUGGGUUGCAUUACCAUAGGAUACAUGGAAAAAAAACAUUCAGGAGAUACUGAGCAACAGUAGCAUGGAAUCUGAAAUUUGGUGGAAUAUGGACAGCUAGUCCUUCUAGUUUAGCAUUCACAACACUGACUGACAGUUGUUCUCUGUGGGGAGAUAUUCCCAGCUCUACUUGCAGAUGCUGGGAAUUCAGCUGGGGACCUGCUGUACACAAAGCAGAUGCUGUGCAACUGAGCCAUGGCCCAACACAUCUAAUAAGAUCAUAGAAAGUUGGCUUUUACUGAGUCAGAACAUUGUCCCAUCUGGCUUAGUAUUGCCCGCACUACCAGCGGUCUCCAGGGUUUCAGGCAGGUGUCUCUCUCAGCCCCACCUGAAGUUGCCAGUGACUGAACCUAGGACCCAGAAGGGAAGGGAUUUCCCAUGUUCUCUCCCUAGAUUGUGUUCUUGAGUACAUCUUAUGGGACUAUAAUCAUAAACCAUGAAAUUGCAGGUAUCUGAUAAGCACUGUGCAUAUCCUUUCUUCCCCUAGAGUUCUAGAAUGUUAGAGGUUUUUAAAGAUGUAUAAUAGGGUAAAAUCUGAAAUGGAUCUCUUGAAGCAUAUCUAUUAGAGCACUUAGUUUAAUGCAAUUUGAAUCCCAGAGGAAAUUUCAGUAUUUCAAAACAGACUGAAAACUUGACACAGUGAAUGCUCAAGCAACAUUUUAGUUGCUGGUGGUUCAGGGCAGG
RNAcentral lists this long non-coding RNA (6092 nucleotides) under Podarcis lilfordi (Lilford's wall lizard). The record is from RNAcentral. Lineage: Eukaryota; Metazoa; Chordata; Lepidosauria; Squamata; Lacertidae.